RNAcentral lists this unclassified non-coding RNA (47 nucleotides) under Sorangium cellulosum So ce56. The record is from RNAcentral. Lineage: Bacteria; Pseudomonadati; Myxococcota; Polyangiales; Polyangiaceae.
ACUUGCAAAGGAGGACCAAAUGGUCCUAAAAUAGGACUAACACGCGA